Molecule: ribosomal RNA, 914 nt
Filed under: uncultured archaeon
Lineage: Archaea
Description: bacterial SSU rRNA
Rfam family: Archaeal small subunit ribosomal RNA
Source: RNAcentral
UUCCGGUUGAUCCUGCCGGCGACCACCGCUAUUGGAAUCCGCUUAAGACAUGCGAGUUUAAAGGACUUCGGUCCUUGGCGUACGGCUCAGUAACACGCGGACAAUCUGCCCUAGGGUGGGGGAUAAUCUCGGAAAACUGAGCAUAAUACCCCAUAGGUCAUGGAUGCUGGAAUGCUUCAUGGUUAAAAGCCCAGGCGCCCUAGGAUGAGUCUGCGGCCUAUCAGGUAGUAGUGGGUGUAACGGACCCACUAGCCAGUGACGGGUAUGGGCGUUGGGAGACGUCGCCCAGAGAUGGAUUCUGAGACACGAAUCCAGGCCCCACGGGGCGCAGCAGUCGCGAAAACUUGGCAAUGCGGGAAACCGCGACCAGGGGAUUCCAAGUGCAUGCACACUGUGUAUGCUGUUUCAUUGUCUUAAAAACAUAGAAAGUAAGGGCUGGGUAAGACAGGUGCCAGCCGCCGCGGUAAUACCUGCAGCCCGAGUGGUGGCCGAUAUUAUUGAGCCUAAAGCGUCCGUAGCCGGUCUGGUAAAUUCUUGGGUAAAUCGAGCAGCUUAACUGUUCGAAUUCCGAGGAGGCUGCCAGACUUGGGACCGGGAGAGGCUAAAGGUACUCCAGGGGUAGGGGCUAAAUCCUGUAAUCCUUGGGGGACCACCAGUGGCGAAGGCGUUUAGCUAGAACGGAUCCGACGGUAAGGGACGAAACCCUGGGGCGCAAACCGGAUUAGAUACCCGGGUAGUCCAGGGCGUAAACGCUGCAGACUUGGUGUUGGGGACCCUACGAGGGUGCCCAGUGCCGGAGUGAAGAUGUUAAGUCUGCCGCUUGGGGAGUACGUCCGCAAGGAUGAAACUUAAAGGAAUUGGCGGGAGAGCACAGCAACGGGAGGAGCGUGCGGUUCAAUUGGAUUCAACGCCGG